This 331-nucleotide ribosomal RNA is filed under the name uncultured bacterium. Its description in RNAcentral is "partial 16S ribosomal RNA". It matches the Rfam family "Bacterial small subunit ribosomal RNA", at positions 338 to 686 of the family's 1533-position model. The record is from RNAcentral.
CCUACGGGUGGCAGCAGUAGGGAAUAUUGCGCAAUGGGGGAAACCCUGACGCAGCAACGCCGCGUGGAGGAUGAAGGGUUUCGGAUUGUAAACUCCUUUUCUCAGAGACGAUAAUGACGAUAUCUCACGAAUAAGCACCGGCUAACACCUUCCCAGCAGCCGCGGUAGUACGGAGGGUGCAAGCGUUACUCGGAAUCACUGGGCGGAAAGGGCGCGGCGGCGGGCUUGGAAGGCAGAUGUGGAAUCCUAGGGGUGAACCACUGAACUUCUUUUGUAACUGGUGUUGUAGGGUAUGGGGGAGGUAAGUGGAAAUCUCGGGGGCAGGGUAAAA